AGUCAGUGAGCUUUGAGGAUGUGGCUGUGAAGUUCACACAGGAGGAGUGGGCUGUGCUGGAUCCAUCCCAGAAGAAGCUGUACAAAGAUGUGAUGCAGGAAACCCUGAAGAACCUGGCUUCCAUAGGAAAGAAGUCCAACAAACAGAAGGCUAUAAAUGAGUAUGAAAAUCUCUGGAGAAAACUCAGCAGCCACCUGGCGGAGAAAUUCAGUGACUAUAAGUUGUAUAAACAUAAGGAGUUUGGGAGCAGCUUCACAUAUCCUCUGUCCCUUCAGAUGCAUAAAAGUGCUCACAGUGGAAAGAAACCUUCUAAAAAUAAGGACUGUGAGGACCUUUUACUCCAAUCUGGUCAAGGAAAUAAAGAACAUCACCCUGCAAAAAAAAUCUUACGUUCAAAAGCUGUUUGGGAAAGGCCUCACGCAUCCCAGUCCUUUACAAAGGCAUGAGAAGAGUCACAGCGUUAAGAAGCCCUAUGUAUGUGAACUGUGUGGUAAAGGCUUUGUUCGCUUAGAUAAUCUUUUAAGACAUAAGAUGACUCCAGAUUGUGAGAAGACUUUUUUUUUUUUGUAAUCACUGUGGGAAAAUUUUUUUCUCGUUCUGCUUACCUCGAAAACACACAAAAAUUCAUACUGGUGAGAAACCCUAUGUGGGUGAGCAGUAUGGGAGAGAUUUUCUUUAUUCUGCUUACUUUCAGAUUCAUAGAAGAAGUCACACUGGAGAGAAACCCAGUGUGUGUAAGCAAUGUGGGAAAGCCUUCACUGCUUCUCAGUACCUUCAUAUACACGAACAAAUUCAUACUGGAAAAAAAAAGUUACGUAGGUAAGCAGUGUGGGAGUGCCUUCUCAUUUUGGAAUCAAUUUUAGAAACAUAAAAUAUCUCACAGUGGUGUGAAUCCCUAUACUUGUAAGCCAUGUGGGAAAGGUUUCACAUGUUCUGGUUUCCUGAGAGCACAUGAAAGAAUUCACACUGAUGAGAAGUCCUAUGUGUAUAAGCACUGUGGGAAAACCUUUGCUCAUUUUGGUAGCCAUAAAAGACAUAAAAAAAAAAAAAAA
This 1052-nucleotide long non-coding RNA is filed under the name Mus musculus (house mouse). Its description in RNAcentral is "predicted gene, 66645". Lineage: Eukaryota; Metazoa; Chordata; Mammalia; Rodentia; Muridae. The record is from RNAcentral.